AUGAACGCUAGCGACAGGCCUAACACAUGCAAGUCGAGGGGCAGCGACAAGGAGCAAUCUGAGGUGGCGACCGGCGCACGGGUGAGUAACACGUAUGCAACCUGCCUGUAAGCGGGGAAUAACCCGUUGAAAGACGGACUAAUACCGCAUAAUACUAAAUUACUGCAUGGUAAUUUAUUUAAACAUUUAUGGCUUACAGAUGGGCAUGCGCAUGAUUAGCUAGUUGGAGAGGUAACGGCUCCCCAAGGCAACGAUCAUUAGGGGUUCUGAGAGGAAGGUCCCCCACACUGGUACUGAGACACGGACCAGACUCCUACGGGAGGCAGCAGUGAGGAAUAUUGGUCAAUGGACGAGAGUCUGAACCAGCCAAGGUCGCGUGCAGGAAGAAUGUCCUUAAUGGAUUGUAAACUGCUUUUGCAGGGGAAUAAAGUGCAUCACGUGUGAUGUUUUGUAUGUACUCUGCGAAUAAGGAUCGGCUAACUCCGUGCCAGCCGCAGC
RNAcentral lists this ribosomal RNA (498 nucleotides) under uncultured bacterium. RNAcentral describes it as "bacterial SSU rRNA". It matches the Rfam family "Bacterial small subunit ribosomal RNA", at positions 29 to 518 of the family's 1533-position model. The record is from RNAcentral.